Molecule: unclassified non-coding RNA, 1029 nt
Filed under: Hevea brasiliensis (rubber tree)
Lineage: Eukaryota; Viridiplantae; Streptophyta; Magnoliopsida; Malpighiales; Euphorbiaceae
Source: RNAcentral
AGAUUGCUGGUACUGGUUGGCUGGGAACUGUGUUAAUCCAACCUGUGGUUUUAGACACCCUGUAAGCAUAUCACUUCUCUUUAUAUCUCUUGUGUGUGUCAGUGGGUGCGUGUGUGAAUUAGAAUUUAUUGAGUUUGACUGUACUUGAUACUAAUUGCACAUUUAAUCUCCGAAUGCUGGUGUUCACUUCUUUUAUAUUUUCAAAUGGGAAUGUAUUCUUAUGUCAUUCUCUGUAUGAAACAUUUGGAUUGUUCACUUAUUUAGCCCCUUAGGAAUGAUAUAUUCUUGAAUUUUGUUUUUUAAAUUUGUGCAUCAUAGAUAUCCCACUCUGUUAAUGAUAUGAUCCAUGUGGCUUAGGCGACAUAUGCUAGUAGGUUGCCAGUUCAUGCUGGGAAAAAAGGUUACGAUGGGGGAACAAUGUUUGAAAUUAAGUGUACCUUUUAUUUAUAUACAUUUCUUUGUUAGAAUUGUCUUGUAAAAAUCACAAUCAGCGCCAUAAUUUCCUGAUGUUUGACUGUUUGUUAUUGCCUCAUUAAAAAACUGUAAAUAGCCAGGAAUGCCAAAGCUUAAUAAAAUUUGUCUGCUUGCCUUUGUUUUUUAGUGGCUUGGGGGUAGGGGCCUGGGGAUGGGUUCUAAGCUCUAACUAUUUAAAGGACGAAUAUUGGAUUGGAGAACUCCCCCAAUGAACAUCAGUGCACUAUUUUAGUUGUGUAGGUGACCAUAAAGGACUUGGUGAGGUUGUAGUAAAGUCUAAAUGUGUGGAGAUUUUGAGAAAAGAGCAACUACCAACUCAAUGAUAGAUCGAGUGAAUACUUCAGAUUGUUGAUGGGUAUAACAUUCUUAGAAUUUUCAGAAAUAAAAAGCCAAAAAAGAAAAACAAGUAUUUAGGCCCUGAUUGGCAUUAAAUUCGAAGGUCUAAAAGCGCUUUUCAGGAAAAAAAAAAUUAUUUUAGAUGUUGAAAAAAAAACAAUUUGGAAAAAAAUUGUUUCGUCAUUUUAGUAUUUGUAUGGCUAAAAUAUGUCAAAUUUA